AUCACUUCUUGACCUUUUGGCCAAGAUCAAGUGUAGUAUCUGUUCUUAUCAGUUUAAUACCUGAUAUGCCUUCUAUCCAAGAACAAUAUAUUAAAUGGAUUUUUGGAGAAGGGAGAUGGAAUAGCAGCUUGCCCCAUCUACUCUUCACAUAAAACAGGUAUUGUGAUAUUUCA
This is a small nuclear RNA of 173 nucleotides. Its record names the gene U2. It matches the Rfam family "U2 spliceosomal RNA". Rfam says of the family: U2 is a small nuclear RNA (snRNA) component of the spliceosome (involved in pre-mRNA splicing). Complementary binding between U2 snRNA (in an area lying towards the 5' end but 3' to hairpin I) and the branchpoint sequence (BPS) of the intron results the bulging out of an unpaired adenosine, on the BPS, which initiates a nucleophilic attack at the intronic 5' splice site, thus starting the first of two transesterification reactions that mediate splicing. The record is from Ensembl.